GAUUAACGCUAGCGGUAUGCCUAAUACAUGCAAGUCGAGCGGGAGCAGCAAUGCUCUAGCGGCAAACGGGUGAGUAAUACGUAUCUAAUCUGCCCUUUAGAAAGGAACAACAGAUUGAAAGAUUUGCUAAUACCUUAUAGGACAUUAACUCGCAUGAGAUGAUGUUUAAAGUUCCGUUUGGAACGCUUUAGGAUGAGGGUGCGGCUUAUCAGAUUGUUGGUGAGGUAAUGGCCCACCAAGUCGAUGACGAGUAGCUAUGCUGAGAGGUAGAAUAGCCACAAGGGGACUGAGACACGGCCCCUACUCC
RNAcentral lists this ribosomal RNA (307 nucleotides) under uncultured Mycoplasmataceae bacterium. RNAcentral's name for it is "bacterial SSU rRNA". It matches the Rfam family "Bacterial small subunit ribosomal RNA", at positions 28 to 339 of the family's 1533-position model. The record is from RNAcentral. Lineage: Bacteria; Bacillati; Mycoplasmatota; Mollicutes; Mycoplasmatales; Mycoplasmataceae.